AGAGUUUGAUCAUGGCUCAGAAUGAACGCUGGCGGCGUGCAUAACACAUGCAAGUCGAACGAGAAACCCCGGGCUUGCUCGGGGGAGUAAAGUGGCGCACGGGUGAGUAACGCGUGGGUAACCUACCCCUGAAUUUGGAAUAACCCGCCGAAAGGCGGACUAAUACCGGAUAUUGUCCCGGAGGCGCAUGCCUUCGGUAUGAAAGGUGACCUCUUCAUGAAAGUUGCCGUUCGGGGAGGGGCUCGCGUACCAUUAGCUUGUUGGUAGGGUAAUGGCCUACCAAGGCGACGAUGGUUAGCUGAUCUGAGAGGAUGAUCAGCCACACUGGAACUGGAACACGGUCCAGACUCCUACGGGAGGCAGCAGUGAGGAAUUUUGCGCAAUAGGGGAAACCCUGACGCAGCAACGCCGCGUGAGUGAAGAAGGCCUUCGGGUCGUAAAGCUCUGUCAAGUGGGAAAAAAGUCAACCGGUGAAUAGCCGGUUGGCCUGAUGGUACCACUAGAGGAAGCACCGGCUAACUCCGUGCCAGCAGCCGCGGUAAUACGGAGGGUGCAAGCGUUGUUCGGAAUUAUUGGGCGU
This 580-nucleotide ribosomal RNA is filed under the name uncultured Desulfobulbaceae bacterium. RNAcentral's name for it is "bacterial SSU rRNA". It matches the Rfam family "Bacterial small subunit ribosomal RNA", at positions 8 to 561 of the family's 1533-position model. The record is from RNAcentral. Lineage: Bacteria; Pseudomonadati; Thermodesulfobacteriota; Desulfobulbia; Desulfobulbales; Desulfobulbaceae.